ACAUUUAGCAUACUGCCCAAUUAAGAUAUACAACUUCUAGAAAACCAGUGCUCAUUAUCAAAGAAGACCUGAUCCACAAUAUCUAAAUUUGUUGAUAACUGGAAAAGGCUGUCCAACCUGGUGAAGAUAUCUUUAAACUAUGAAUGACUGGGGAAGAAUAAGAUGAUCAACAAAGUGAGGAAAUGAGGGACUGGGCUGCCUAUCUGUGAAUCAUUCUCCUCCAGUGUUCCAAGGAAAGAAUUAAAUCUGCUUGCUGCCAAGAUCUGUUUGAAUGAUGUACACCUUUUGAAAACAACAGCAAUUGUUUUCAAAAUGGUUCCCAAAAUGAUCACUUCUGUGAAUAUGGCAAUAAAUAGCCAGCCUAUGA
Long non-coding RNA from Oxyura jamaicensis (ruddy duck), 367 nucleotides. RefSeq lists it as uncharacterized. Lineage: Eukaryota; Metazoa; Chordata; Aves; Anseriformes; Anatidae. The transcript is spliced from 4 exons. The record is from RefSeq and is a predicted model, not a curated record.